GAGUUUGAUUCUGGCUCAGGAUGAACGCUAGCUACAGGCUUAACACAUGCAAGUCGAGGGGCAUCGGGGGAAGAGCUUGCUCUUUCUGCCGGCGACCGGCGCACGGGUGCGUAACGCGUAUCAAACCUGCCGCAUACUCGGGGACAGCCUUGCGAAAGUAAGAUUAAUACCCGAUGUUAUUAAGUUCUCGCAUGAGGAUUUGAUCAAAGAUUUAUCGGUAUGCGAUGGUGAUGCGUCUGAUUAGGUAGUAGGCGGGGUAACGGCCCACCUAGCCAUCGAUCAGUAGGGGUUCUGAGAGGAAGGUCCCCCACACUGGAACUGAGACACGGUCCAGACUCCUACGGGAGGCAGCAGUGAGGAAUAUUGGUCAAUGGACGAGAGUCUGAACCAGCCAAGUAGCGUGCAGGAUGACUGCCUUAUGGGUUGUAAACUGCUUUUAGUUGGGAAUAAAAGAAGGGACGUGUCC
Molecule: ribosomal RNA, 466 nt
Filed under: Prevotella sp. canine oral taxon 284
Lineage: Bacteria; Pseudomonadati; Bacteroidota; Bacteroidia; Bacteroidales; Prevotellaceae
Description: bacterial SSU rRNA
Rfam family: Bacterial small subunit ribosomal RNA
Source: RNAcentral